GCUCUGGUGGCCUAGUUGUUAGAGCUUCCGCCUCAGAUGCGAAAGGUCGAGGGUUCGAUCCCCUGUGGAGUC
This is a non-coding RNA of Potamilus streckersoni, 72 nucleotides long. NCBI's taxonomy places the organism in Eukaryota, Metazoa, Mollusca, Bivalvia, Unionida, Unionidae. The record is from the annotation of a GenBank genome assembly.